UUUGAUGCAGUGCAUUUGAGGAAAUUCAGUUUACUUCUUAAUUUAUGUAAUAUGAUGAAAAUAUCUGUGCAGUCUUAGAUGAGACUCAAUUUCUACUUGCUUCAUAACUAUCUUGGUAGUAUCAGAUGAGACUCAAAUUCAUGCUUCCUUGAGGAAUCAUGUUGAUGUGGCGAGACGCAUUUUUUUAUAAAUUUGGUCAGCCUGUUGUCAUCAAAAUAGUGUGGAGCUCCUGGAAAAGCCUUUUGGUGAACUAGAGUUUGGCUUUGGUUUUGGACUGUAAAACAGAAAUUGUUGGCUUGAUACUUGAAAGCUUUAAAUGACUCUACUUUAUAUUUUGGUACUGUUGAUGAUAUUUUGGUAAUGAAAUCAU
RNAcentral lists this long non-coding RNA (370 nucleotides) under Gossypium raimondii (Peruvian cotton). RNAcentral's name for it is "long non-coding RNA (GRAI_LNC006498)". The record is from RNAcentral. Lineage: Eukaryota; Viridiplantae; Streptophyta; Magnoliopsida; Malvales; Malvaceae.